This 166-nucleotide small RNA is filed under the name Chelonoidis abingdonii (Abingdon island giant tortoise). RNAcentral describes it as "TUC338 (ENSCABG00000018260.1)". Lineage: Eukaryota; Metazoa; Chordata; Testudines; Testudinidae. The record is from RNAcentral.
UUGAUGGCAGAGGUGCUCAAAGUCUGCUAUUUAGCCACAAAACAGUUACAGCACAGACAUCAGCAGUGUCAGCUUCCCCCACACAGUUCUGUUAACAUGCCUCAACUCUGACCUGGAGGGAUGUUCCAUGUUGCUUCAGUCCUUGGCAGUUCGGUUAGUGUUAAUU